Molecule: long non-coding RNA, 544 nt
Organism: Zophobas morio
Lineage: Eukaryota; Metazoa; Arthropoda; Insecta; Coleoptera; Tenebrionidae
Exons: 5
Source: RefSeq, a predicted model, not a curated record
UUGAAAACUGUUCCGAACUUGACUAAGAUAAACACGAAAUUUAGAGGUCGUGUACGCGAGUUGCCUGUUAGGCAAUUUGUUGCCUUCGGGGAUUUUGGCAUCCAGGCUGUAGAAGCUGGCCGUUUAAAAGAUAGGGCCUUAAUAGUAGUACACGAUAUAAUUCAUAAAGAGAUGAAAGCGCUAAAGAAAAAGUUUUGGACUCGAGUUUUUACCAAUGUGCCCGCAUCUGCCCGCCCCAGCGAUGUUCGAAGGGGCAGAGGAAAAGGCUCUGUGGAUCACUGGUAUGCUCGAAUUCCUCCUUGUAAAGUUUUAUUUGAAUUUAAGGAUGUUCCUAUAGAAACGCUUAGAAAACUUUAUCGUCGUAUUGCUCCGCGCUUUGGCUUUAAAACAAAGCUAAUACGCAGAGAACCCCUCGUUAAAGAACAGAACUUAUCGAGACUACUGCCUAAAGUAAACCUUUUUAAGGAAGUAGCUGAGUUCCAACAUGUAGGAAAAAUAAUUUCCAUUAGAAAAGAAAUAGAUUUCACUAACAGGAUCUAGAAUU